Phoenix dactylifera (date palm) is the source of this 104-nucleotide non-coding RNA. NCBI's taxonomy places the organism in Eukaryota, Viridiplantae, Streptophyta, Magnoliopsida, Arecales, Arecaceae. The record is from RefSeq and is a predicted model, not a curated record.
CAGAUAAGGGUGAAUUGCUAGUAUUUUAAUCCAACACUUGAAGAACUGAGUUUCUAGAAAUUCCAAAUGAUGCAUCUUUUUUUUUUUUUUGCUUCCGAAUCUGU